UGGGGAAUAUUGCACAAUGGGCGCAAGCCUGAUGCAGCCAUGCCGCGUGUAUGAAGAAGGCCUUCGGGUUGUAAAGUACUUUCAGCGGGGAGGAAGGCGAUAAGGUUAAUAACCUUGUCGAUUGACGUUACCCGCAGAAGAAGCACCGGCUAACUCCGUGCCAGCAGCCGCGGUAAUACGGAGGGUGCAAGCGUUAAUCGGAAUUACUGGGCGUAAAGCGCACGCAGGCGGUCUGUCAAGUCGGAUGUGAAAUCCCCGGGCUCAACCUGGGAACUGUAUCCGAAACUGGCAGGCUAGAGUCUUGUAGAGGGGGGUAGAAUUCCAGGUGUAGCGGUGAAAUGCGUAGAGAUCUGGAGGAAUACCGGUGGCGAAGGCGGCCCCCUGGACAAAGACUGACGCUCAGGUGCGAAAGCGUGGGGAGCAAACA
This 427-nucleotide ribosomal RNA is filed under the name uncultured bacterium. RNAcentral's name for it is "partial 16S ribosomal RNA". It matches the Rfam family "Bacterial small subunit ribosomal RNA", at positions 355 to 774 of the family's 1533-position model. The record is from RNAcentral.